AGAGUUUGAUCCUGGCUCAGGAUGAACGCUGGCGGCGUGCCUAAUACAUGCAAGUCGAACGAGGUGCUUGAGUAGCAAUACAAGAGUAUCCUAGUGGCGAACGGGUGAGUAACGCGUUGGUGACCUACCCCAAAGUGUGGGAUAACAGUCCGAAAGGAUUGCUAAUACCGCAUGUGGUUAUUGGAUCUAGAAACUGAUAACUAAAGGAGCAAUUCGCUUUGGGAGGGACCUGCGUCCCAUCAGCUAGUUGGUGAGGUAAUGGCUCACCAAGGCUACGACGGGUAGGGGACCUGAGAGGGUGGCCCCCCACAAUGGAACUGAAACACGGUCCAUACACCUACGGGUGGCAGCAGUAGGGAAUAUUGCACAAUGGGCGAAAGCCUGAUGCAGCAACGCCGCGUGUGCGAUGAAGGCCUUCGGGUCGUAAAGCACUUUUCUAAGAGAUGAGAAAGGACAGUAUCUCAGGAAUAAGUCUCGGCUAACUACGUGCCAGCAGCCGCGGUAACACGUAGGAGGCGAGCGUUAUCCGGAUUCACUGGGCGUAAAGCGCGUGCAGGCGGUUUGGUAAGUUGAUCGUGAAAGCUCCCGGCUCAACUGGGAGAGGUCGUUCAAUACUACCGAACUAGAGAGUAGAAGAGGAAGAUGGAAUUCCCGGUGUAGUGGUGAAAUGCGUAGAUAUCGGGAGGAACACCAGUGGCGAAGGCGAUCUUCUGGUCUAUUUCUGACGCUCAGACGCGACAGCUAGGGUAGUAAACGGGAUUAGAGACCCCGGUAAUCCUAGCCGUAAACGAUGUGAACUUGGCGUCGGUGGCUUAAACACCAUCGGUGCCGAAGCAAACGCGAUAAGUUCACCGCCUGGGGACUACGGCCGCAAGGUUAAAACUCAAAGGAAUUGACGG
This 899-nucleotide ribosomal RNA is filed under the name uncultured bacterium. RNAcentral describes it as "bacterial SSU rRNA". It matches the Rfam family "Bacterial small subunit ribosomal RNA", at positions 8 to 916 of the family's 1533-position model. The record is from RNAcentral.